Molecule: long non-coding RNA, 3524 nt
Organism: Pseudopipra pipra
Lineage: Eukaryota; Metazoa; Chordata; Aves; Passeriformes; Pipridae
Exons: 2
Source: RefSeq, a predicted model, not a curated record
CCUCCUCCUCCGGCGCCCGCCCGCCCCGCUCCGCGGAGGGAGGCGGCAGGAAAGGGAGCGGGGCAGCGGCGCCUCCUCCGCCGCGGAAAAACCAGACUGGGAAUUGCGGGGGCCGGAGUGGGACCCCCAAGCUCCGGCGUGGCCCUCCCGCCCCCCGGCCGUGUGGCUGCCCGGGCACCGCUGCCCAUCGGCCCGGCACGGCCCGGCCUUACCGGGCUGCUCCGAGAUCUCCGACUUCCAAAGUUGGUCCUUCCCCGGAUCGCGCCGAGUUUGCUCCCCGCUGGAAGAGCAGAACGAGAUUGCUCUCUCUCUUCGGAAGGAGUCAGCCGGGCUGCGCUCCAGCGCUGGGCUGGUGUGCGCAGUCCUUCCCCAUCACUGACCCGUUCCUCUCCGGGAGCCUCUGACAAGCCUGGAACUUUCCUGGACAAGCCUGGAAUUUUCCCCACCCAUUGGACCUACUAAGAAAAGACCAUUUCUGCGUGCCUUUUGCUCUGCUACUCCCAGGGAUUCUGUAAAUUAAACACAGAGGAUGUUUUUUCUUCCCUGGUCCGUACUUAGCAAUGGGUCUCUGAUGGUAAUUUAAGGAUGGAAAAAGCCAUGCCCACUCAUUGAAUGACUGUGGCAGCCUGAGAUAUCCCUGGGAUGCUUCUCUGGAGUGAUUAUGGAGACAGAGAGGAUAGGUUUCACUGGUGCUUUUACCUGUGUUUGGGUCCCCAUCAGUCAGUCUCAAGCUGCAGCCACAGAGAGAGAGCGAGAACACACCUAUACCAUCAUCUUUUAACUUUUAACACAGCUAAAAACAGUGUUACCCUUUACACCUCUUAAUUAGCCUGCUGCCUUUUAUGCCUCACAGCCCAGCUUUUACCCAGACAUUUCUUACAGCUUUUUUUUUUAGCACAAUUGUUUGAAAAUGCACUAAAAUAACUUUUCCCUUUAUUAUGACGGAAACUCUAACUUCCCCAGGCAAUAAUUCAUCCACACAUUCAAGCUAACUUUUCCCUUUUUCCCUCCCCAAAUCUCAUCCCACUCUUCCUUAAGUAUCCAUUGAUUGUGUCACUCACAGUAAUUCCUUUGUAUCUCCAGUCUUCCCCUUUCUGGAGGCUAAAAGCUUCUGAGCGAUGCUGUUAGCAAGUGGAAAAUUCAAGGAGUUUGGCUUGGCCUGUGUAGGAGCUGAGAGGUAUUUCUCACACAUCAGAUGGGAAGAGAAUAGAAAGACAAUGGAAUGUUCUUGCUCUCUAUGUACAUCACAGAUGAGGGAAAUAAGACAGGAAUGAGAAUGCAUUUAGCAGAGUCACAUUAGUGGUGGAUGAGUCUCAAAGGGGUCUAGGAGCAGACAGACCAAGGCAGGAAGCCCCAUCUGUCUGCAUGAUCUCUUCAAAUACUUCCAUUUUGGGUCUCACCUCAGAAGGAAAAGAGGAUCCAUCUGACUUUGUGCGUGCCCCUGCCAGCUGCAGCUCCACUCUCCUCCUCCCUCCACUCACAGUAAACGGCACAACUCACACAAGUGGCUGUUUGCAGGGUGAGCUGCACACCCACACUCCAGCUUUUAUGUGCAGAGCACUGACCACACUUAGCACUUUACUCUCUUAAAACAGGCCAAUUCUUCACAAAUUGCAGAAAUUAAUCCAAGUGCAGAUUCCCUCACAGUUUCCCGGUGAGAUACUGAAUCCUCAGACACACCCGUUUCACAAAGUUAAACAUUUAUUAGGAACAAGAACUAUUACAAAAAAAGAUACUCAUAGUCUAAAUAUAUACAUGAGGUUUAAACAUAGCAUUUUCAUGUACCUUUAGCUAUAAAAAUACAUUAGAUUAACUGUAUCCUAAUUUAUAAAUAUAGUUUUUUUUCUUUUAAAAAAACAACUAGUAUUUCAUAUGAAAGCCUUAACUGUGCAAUGAAAGAAAUAUAUAUACCCUCUAAGGGGUUAUUUUAGUUAGUGUCUAGUGUUAUAUAACUUAGAAAAUUCAGUGUGUAGAGUCAAACCCUGAUUUAUACAAUAAGAGAUACAUUGAAAAAUGUAAAAUUUUUAAAAUACAUGAUUUUAAAAACAUGAUAAGGGAAAAAAAAGUGAAAUAUAUAUCAUACACAUAAAGUCAGAAUAGUAGGAUUUAAAGAAUUUUAGAUGAUUUCAGUUUCCACCACUGUUUAUCAAAAAUACAUCAGAGAUACAUCAAGAUAACCAGCCUUUUACUGCUUGCCUCACCUCCCUACUGUCUGGCUGCAGCCCAAGAAAACCCUCAGGUAGGCAAGAGUAAAAUGUUUGUCUGAAAAGAUGUUUGCACUCUAAGUGUUUUACAAAAAUAAAAACUUAUGUACAAUGUUCCCAUUUGGCCUUUCACGGGGAAGGGAGGACAUUUUCGUCACUGGAUGGGGAGAUUUACCUGUCUCACAUCCCAUGGAAGGACAGGCACCUCGUUACAACUGUUGGAGGUAUGUCAUGUAAGAAGUUAAGUGGUGUUGAAGUGCAAUUUCAACGUUCACUAACUAAUAAGGAAGUUUAGGCUCAUGCAAACAUUUUCCUUACUUAUCGCCACCCACCUUCCUUCCUCCUCCAAAAAAAGCUCCACUCAUGCAACAGAACUUGUUACUGACUAUCUCCAAGCAAAGGAAGGUACUGGUUAAAUCCUUGCUUGCAGCAGAGAAGAGAGGUUAGACCUGCAUUUCUGCUUCAAGCACUGACAUCUGGAAAACUCCAGGCAGGAAUCUUUAUGAGUGCUCCCUGGAGAUCUGUUGAUACACCAUAAGGAACCUCCAUGGGUUUGUUCUCAGAGGACAAUCCCAGUGGGAUCACCUGAACUUCCUAACAAGCUGUCACCACUAACUCCUGCACACUCACAGCUCCCGCAGACAUGGGACUUGCUGUCCUUUUGCCAGUGGUUCUCCAGUAGAGUCAGGAGGAGGAGGGAAAGCAGUGAACCCAGGAACUGAAGACAGCGUGUGGCCUGUCAUUAAUCCCCUAAUAAUGUCUGGGCAUGCAAAGGAGUUACUGCAGGAGGUACUAAGAUAUGAACUUGGUGUGACAGCCACUCCAUGGACAGCUGUGAGCAAGAGACAAUCCAACGCAGUUGGUUGCUCAGUGAAGGAUCAACUACUCCAUGCUGGCUACGAGAUGACAGCACUCACAGGGAUAACCACUGCAAAGCUCUGGCACAUUUAGGUCCAGCCAUAGCUUAUCCAUAGUAAUUGGCUUGUACACCCACCUCUUUAGCACUUGGUGGUGCUUGGGAGCACCUGCCUUUUCAUACUGCACUUCCAGUAUCUAUUUUUAAGCUACAUUCACACAGGAUAAAGAAGGAGUGAGAAGAGCUUAUAGUUUUAUGCUCACAACAAUAGCCCUGGCUCAAAAAAUAAAGAGAUGUUCACAAAGCCUGAAAGUUACAGAGAAAGAGAGAGCAGGACAGCUUCCUGCAGCUCUUCUGCUCUCUCCCCCAGGUCAGGACUGGUGUAGGGUGUUUUCUGUGGGGUAUCUGCCAUGCUACAUGCUCAGCAUCCAACCUGGUGUCAUCAAGGUAAGUACAGUGCAAAA